This 69-nucleotide transfer RNA is filed under the name Labrus bergylta (ballan wrasse). It matches the Rfam family "tRNA". From Rfam's summary of the family: Transfer RNA (tRNA) molecules are approximately 80 nucleotides in length. Their secondary structure includes four short double-helical elements and three loops (D, anti-codon, and T loops). Further hydrogen bonds mediate the characteristic L-shaped molecular structure. tRNAs have two regions of fundamental functional importance: the anti-codon, which is responsible for specific mRNA codon recognition, and the 3' end, to which the tRNAs corresponding amino acid is attached (by aminoacyl-tRNA synthetases). tRNAs cope with the degeneracy of the genetic code in two manners: having more than one tRNA (with a specific anti-codon) for a particular amino acid; and 'wobble' base-pairing, i.e. permitting non-standard base-pairing at the 3rd anti-codon position. The record is from Rfam by way of RNAcentral. Lineage: Eukaryota; Metazoa; Chordata; Actinopteri; Labriformes; Labridae.
GUAGGUAUAGUUUAAUCAAAACGCUAGAUUGUGAUUCUAUAGACAGCAGUUAAACCCCGCUUACCCACC